Molecule: ribosomal RNA, 590 nt
Filed under: uncultured bacterium
Lineage: Bacteria
Description: bacterial SSU rRNA
Rfam family: Bacterial small subunit ribosomal RNA
Source: RNAcentral
CGGCAGCGCGGGGUGCAACCCUGGCGGCGAGCGGCGAACGGGUGAGUAAUGCAUCGGAACGUGUCCUCUUGUGGGGGAUAACCAGUCGAAAGACUGGCUAAUACCGCAUGAGCUCGAGAGAGGAAAGCAGGGGACCGCAAGGCCUUGCGCGAGAGGAGCGGCCGAUGCCGGAUUAGCUAGUUGGUGGGGUAAAGGCCUACCAAGGCGACGAUCCGUAGCUGGUCUGAGAGGACGACCAGCCACACUGGGACUGAGACACGGCCCAGACUCCUACGGGAGGCAGCAGUGGGGAAUUUUGGACAAUGGGGGCAACCCUGAUCCAGCCAUGCCGCGUGUGUGAAGAAGGCCUUCGGGUUGUAAAGCACUUUCGGACGGAACGAAAUCGCGCGGGUGAAUAUCCCGCGUGGAUGACGGUACCGUAAGAAGAAGCACCGGCUAACUACGUGCCAGCAGCCGCGGUAAUACGUAGGGUGCGAGCGUUAAUCGGAAUUACUGGGCGUAAAGUGUGCGCAGGCGGCGUCGCAAGUCGAGUGUGAAAGCCCCGGGCUUAACUUGGGAAUUGCGCUCGAAACUACGGUGCUGGAGUAUGG